CGGUAAAAAGUGUGGCAUAAACC
Molecule: non-coding RNA, 23 nt
Filed under: Arabidopsis thaliana (thale cress)
Lineage: Eukaryota; Viridiplantae; Streptophyta; Magnoliopsida; Brassicales; Brassicaceae
Source: RNAcentral